Long non-coding RNA from Thalassophryne amazonica, 117 nucleotides. RefSeq lists it as uncharacterized. The record is from RefSeq and is a predicted model, not a curated record. The transcript is spliced from 3 exons. Lineage: Eukaryota; Metazoa; Chordata; Actinopteri; Batrachoidiformes; Batrachoididae.
AAAUUUCUCACCUAAUCACUGCUGCUGCAAUGAUCUGAUCAUUGAAUCGCAAACCUCACUCGGACUCCAUCAGCCUACAUACCUCGUUUGCUGCUCAGCCUGGCCUUGAGAAGUUAU